UACGGAGGGAGCUAGCGUUGUUCGGAAUUACUGGGCGUAAAGCGCGCGUAGGCGGCUUUGUAAGUUAGAGGUGAAAGCCCGGAGCUCAACUCCGGAACUGCCUUUAAAACUGCAUCGCUUGAAUCCAGGAGAGGUGAGUGGAAUUCCGAGUGUAGAGGUGAAAUUCGUAGAUAUUCGGAAGAACACCGGUGGCGAAGGCGGCUCACUGGCUCGUUUCUGACGCUCAGGCGCGAUAGCGUGGGGAUCAAACAGG
RNAcentral lists this ribosomal RNA (253 nucleotides) under uncultured bacterium. Its description in RNAcentral is "partial 16S ribosomal RNA". It matches the Rfam family "Bacterial small subunit ribosomal RNA", at positions 524 to 776 of the family's 1533-position model. The record is from RNAcentral.